UACCAAGUACGCAUUUUUCCA
RNAcentral lists this non-coding RNA (21 nucleotides) under Caenorhabditis elegans. Lineage: Eukaryota; Metazoa; Nematoda; Chromadorea; Rhabditida; Rhabditidae. The record is from RNAcentral.